ACCUUCCCUUCGCGGUAGGGGCGCUGUGCAUCGGCUAAGUGACGCGAAACCCUGGAAGUCGGGGCUUAGCUGAGAGUUUCUUCGGACGCGACCACUGGCCCAGCGUGCAGGGAGGAGCCGGACGGGCUAUGCUACGCGGGGGCGCAACCACCCCAACCUCGGUAACGGAGAGCUGAUUUAGUUAUUCUAAAGUGCAUCUGGAAGAAUAAACAAAUGAUAAUGAAAGAAAAGGAAGGAAGGAAGGAAGGGAGAAAGAAGGAAGAACGGGCUUCUAACAAGAAGAGUAAUAAGACUCUACUGAACCUCACACUUGCUGGAUUUUAUGAAGUAAACAGCCAUUCAGAGAGGUCAUAUGCCAAGGAACUGAGGAUACCUCUGGCUGGUAACCCACAAGCACAAGGAACAAAUCCUGCAACAGUGAUGUUAGCUUGGUAUCCUUUCCCAGAGGAGCCUCAGAUGAGCCACACCCAGGACUCAGUUACCCAAUGUACACUGGGACCUAGAUUACAGCUGAGGACCUCUAUACCCAUCAAGAUCAUAAUAAAAUUAGAGGUAUGUGAUUUACUUAACAAAUACUCGGGGAUUUUCUAGAGAUGUUUCGGUUAUUGAUUUCUAAUUUAAUAACAUGUGAUUAGAGAACAUACUUUGUAUGCCUUGAAUGCUUUUGAAUUUAUUGAGAUUUGUUUAUGGCCCACCCAGAAUAUGGUGUAUUUUGAUGCAUGUUCCAUGACCACUUGAAAAGAAUUAUA
Delphinapterus leucas (beluga whale) is the source of this 749-nucleotide non-coding RNA. The record is from RefSeq and is a predicted model, not a curated record. Lineage: Eukaryota; Metazoa; Chordata; Mammalia; Artiodactyla; Monodontidae.